This 292-nucleotide long non-coding RNA is filed under the name Homo sapiens (human). Its description in RNAcentral is "long non-coding RNA NONHSAT005722". Lineage: Eukaryota; Metazoa; Chordata; Mammalia; Primates; Hominidae. The record is from RNAcentral.
CCGUAAGAAUUCCUACUUCAAACCUCAGACUUCAAAUAACUGCCAGAACUACUUGACUGAGGUAUCAACCUAUGUUAUCUCCUCCACCAGAAAGCCCAUGAUAUUGACAUAAAAGUGGCUGUUGCUGUAUUGGACACUUGCUCCCAUCUACUUUCUUCUCUAGAAUCCACGGCUCUGGAAUGAGUCAUUUUUUUUAGAAGCAGAGGUGGAGCCACUGAGGAAACACAGGUGAGCCCUCCCCAGUGUGUACUCACUGGUCCCCAACAGAAGAACCACUGCCACAUCCACUGAA